This 7076-nucleotide long non-coding RNA is filed under the name Lactuca sativa (garden lettuce). RNAcentral's name for it is "long non-coding RNA (LSAT_LNC009608)". Lineage: Eukaryota; Viridiplantae; Streptophyta; Magnoliopsida; Asterales; Asteraceae. The record is from RNAcentral.
UUCUUGACCAAAAUUGGCCACUAGAGUGAGAGUAAGAAAGGGCUAGCCGAUUUCAUGAGUUGUAGAAUUCUCUCAAGUUAUUCUAAGUGUUUUGGUGAUUGUGAUUCCAUUUGAGGCUUCCACACUAUUGGGGCUAGGCACUCAAGCUUCAUGAAGACUUUCUACAUCAAAGAGGUAUGUAUUCUAUCUUGUUACACUCAUUGUUUUGUAUGCUAGAUUAGGAUAAUACCUUGGAAGUUCUUAUUUGCAUGUAUAAUAGAGAAAACAUAGAUCCAAGGUAUUUAGGGUUGCAUGUACACUUAGGAGUGUUAGAAUGCUCAAAACCCAACAGUGGUAUCAGAGCCUAGGCUUGUUUUCUUGUUAUACCUGCAAUAGAAGCUGAAAAAACGAAUUUGGUGCUGUCUGAUCAUCAGACUCGGCGAGUCCAUCAGAGGACUCGGCGAGUCCAUGCCUAAAAUGUGAUCAAUUCGAUCCAACUCGCCGAGUUGGUUCAUGCACUCGACGAGUUGGACCCCCAGACAGCAUAUUUUCGAGUUUUUUGGCUAGAAAUGGACUAGGAACAUUACCCUAAGUUGUUUUUGAACUUAUAAACUUGUUUUUGAUGUGGUAAUGUUCAUGCUAAUCCAUUUUCAAAGAUAAUUGUCAAUAGAUUCAUGUUUUGUAUUAGUUUAAGGUUUAGACUAAUUACAUGAAAAAGUUUGAUUUGAAUUAUCUUGUUCUUAUGAGUUGCUUAGAUUAAUAGAAAUGUUAAUUGAAAUAGUUGUUUUCAAUCCAUUUUAAUCUAAGAGUUGAGUAUAAAAUGUGUUUGUGUAACUUGUCCUCAAGUUACAUGAAGAGUCACAUUAAAGACUCAUAAAACUCAUAAAAGUUGGCAAUGGUUACAAAAUGAAGAGUCUUGUGUCAUUGAAUAAUUUUUUUUGACUCCAUAACUUGUCCUCAAGUUAUGGAAGUUCAAGAGUCACUUCAUUAAAGAAAAAUAUGUAACCAUAAUUAAAUCCAUAAGUUAUAAAAUAAAGAAAAAGUUAGUUCUUUUAUUAGUUUAAAGUCUUCCAUAACUUGUCCUCAAGUUAUGGAACUUGAAGAGUUUUUGGAUUAAAACUACUUUAAACACAUAAGUUAUGGAAUUAAUUAGUUUUGAAUAGUUUCAAAACUUGCCCUCAAGUUUUGGAAUUUGAAAAGUUUUCACUUAUGAAUACUUUAAUUCCAAGUUAGCCCUUAGAAUUUUAAAAGUUAAAAUUCAACCCUUAUACUUUAUAAUAUUAUAAGUUAAUAAUAUAUAUAUGUAUAAGAGUAAAGUCAGUCUUACCGCUAGUACGCCUCAUUCACGAAGCCGGUCUAUAAGGUGGGUAUAAGGUUGUUGCCUAUAAAAUGGCAACUUAAUGGGUGUCCACUCUCACCCACCGCUUGCUUGACUGGUGGAGGGUCGUUAGCCGAACGGGUUUGACAGGACUAGAAUUCUCCCUUCAUUAAAAGUAUUAAUGAUAAUACUAAGUAACUAAACUCUUAAUAAUACCCAAUCUUAGUUACUUAGGAAAAAUGUGAAUAAGGUGCUAAUCCAUGAAAUUACACUUUACACUUUGUCUAAGUCGUUAGUGGAGCGUGUGUGGUUAACCGGCACACUAACUUGGACUUAACAAGGUAGGUAAAGGGUGACUUAAUAUUUAUCAUAGUAUCGAUGGAGCGUGUGUGGUUAACCGGCACAUCGAUUGAGGGGUAAUUUAUUAAGGGUACCAAGUGAUUUGCAUGGUUACUUCACACCUUGUUUUGUGAUCCUCGGCAUCCCAGUCACAAAACCUGAAGGGCACACUCGAGAUUGAAACAUGCCUUUGAAAAGUUCAAUGAAUCUCAAAGAUCUAGGAGUUUCAAAACCAAUUAAAACCUAAUAAUACAUUUCGUUUAUCUUGGUGGAAAUUGGUGAAUCGUCAUUCACCUACCUUCAAAUAUUUUAUAGCUUGGAUUACGGCAUACCUCUUCUAAGUUAUAAAAUAGUUUGUUGGGUCCUAGCCUUAAUAUUUCAUAUUGGGUGUCAUAUUAAGGACUUUAAAUCAACUAUCUUGAAUAUCUCCCAAAAGAUGUCUGGUUUAGACACCUAUGAUCUUCCCAAAUCUCUUGAAACAAGGUUUCCUAAUGAAGAUGAUGUCCCAUGGAUAUCAUACUUCUUCACCUCUUCAAAUUAUUCUCCCUAACCCACAAGUUCUUGAAAAGUUUAAGGUCACUCAGGCCCUAUUGGCAAGGCAAGGUCUAGGUGUGGUCACAUCUUGGAGAUGUAGUCACAUAUUGACAAGCCGGGAGAGUUGGGUGUCAAAGUCUUGAGAAAGUUGGUGGUUCAACCACUUUCUAAGUCACAUAGUGAGUUCCUUUGGGACACCUAUGAAACAGACUAUGACAAGACCCUUAAUGAUCUUAUCUAUUUGCUAAGAUCAACUUCCUAAAACUUUAUGGACAUUGACAAUGAUGACAUUGGAUAUCCAGUAAAGCAUUCUCUUCCCAAUGGAAAGGGAUCGGCCAUAGUCAACUCGGUUGACCAAAUGGUAAAGAGAAAAGCUAAGUCUGUGAUAGUCCCGUGUACCAUUAUCAAAGGGUCCAUAUGUUUAUAUUGCCAAAGGAAGGGGCAUUGGUUGCGAAGCUGCCAAAUUUACCUAAGGAUGUUAAAGUCAAUAAGUUUGACUCUACUUCAGGUAAAGUCCACUAUCUAACUCUGUUAAGUUUCUAUUCUGAGAUUCUUGAUACAUGAUGUGACUGGGUCACAUGGUGAUGUUUUAAGAAUCAAAGAAAAGUGAAGAAACUUAAAGAAAGAAUAUGCUGAAUCUGAUGGCGUAGAUGGAUUUCUAUCGCAUAGUUUGAAGAUCGGAUUCUUGAGCUACUUCUUAGGAGUUAUGAGAUAUUGCUUAGGAAUAGAUAACAACAAGUUUUCAUAUGGAUUGUAAGGAUAAGUUUUUCCGCAAAGUUUUAAAAUAAAAGAAAAUUUUUUAUUUUAUUUAUUUUAAAAUAUCCUUACAAUGGCAUUUGAGGAAAAAUUGUUGCUUAUAUGAUUCCAUUAAGAGCAAGAGUGGAAAUAUGAAAUUGAUUCUUUCAUUUGUGGUAAUGUCUAAAUUUACCAAAUAAGGAAAGAUUCUCAUCACCCAAGUUUCAAUUGGACCGGAACUUGGAAUCAUGCAAGUUGUAUAGCAUGAUGAAUGAGAACUUUCAAGUUUUGGAAAAUUAAGACUAAUUACUUGUUCACAUGGAUGUGUGAGUCAAGUAAAGGACUUAGGGAUCGAGUACACAUUCUUGUGCACUGAUUAAGUCCACCACUAAAGAUCGAUAAGAAGAAUCAAAUAAGGCAGAAGGAUAAAAGUUUCUCAAAUCUGAAAAGAUGGGAGAGUACUUUAGUAUCAGUUUUGUGAUCAUCUUAAUGAUUAAGAAACCAUAUCAAAAUUAGUUCUCUAAGGAAAUCUUAGUGCAUUCUUAUGACUAAGAAGAGGAACUUGAAUUGUUGAAAUGGUUAAAUCAAGAAGAUGAGUCAUACUUCGUUCCAAUACAAGUCUUAGAGUCAUACUCCAAGAUUGUCAUUUGAGUGACAUGUCUUAAAGAAGGUUUAAAACACUUGUCAAAUGUAAGAGUAAAAGUUUUCUACUCUUGUACAUUUGAAAUUGGUAAGUUGUGAUGUUUUGGAUAAAACAAAGACCAACUUAGGCCAAUUGGGUAAAGUGUUUUUCUUGAUUAGAAUCCGCACUAUCUCUUGGAUGUUUGACAAGGGAGUCUUAUAUGUCAAGAGGACAGUGGGAGUCUUAAAGGUCUUGAAAGUCUCAAGAAAUAAUCAAGAAUAAAACCUAAAGUUCUUCACUAGCACACGACUUGAGGUUUAUAACCUAUCGUGUUGACAUAUCUGUGCCCAUUCCAGUUAAAGUUGGCUUUGCAUAUGAGUUCUUAGAGUUCUCAGUUUGUUGCAUAACAACUUGGAAGCAAUGGCAGGCCCUUGAGCUGCCAGGUGGCAAGAAGUUAAGAUUGAGUUCAAUCCAUAUGGUUUUGGAUUUGUCAUUAUCUUUGUCUUGUGAUUAUGGUUUGACAAAUUCAUAUGGGUAGGAACUCAUACACCAUAUAAAUCUAAGUGUCAUAAGGUUUCUCUCCGAUUCAUGAAAAUGAUGGUGAGGAAACGCUUUCACUAAGUAGAUUUUACGAAGAUAUCAAUUGUGUUAUUUGCAUUUUCAAAAGUCGUUAGUGGAGCGCGUGUGGUUAACCGGCACACUAACAUGGACUUGUGAGAAAUGGCAAAUGCCUAAGCAAUUGAGACCAUGAUUACGGUAUCCCUUUUCAUGGUUCUUGAAAUUGCUUAGACACACAGGUGAGCUAUCUACGGAAAGGGUGUAUGAAUCUAAAUUUCAGACUGUCCAGCUGAUUUCUGAGUACAUGUCAAAGCUAGUGGGAGCAUAAGUGUUAUGCUAAUAAUCAUCAUGUUAGUGGGAGCAUGAUAAUUAUGAUAAGUAUUGCAAGUUAGCAAUGUUAAUUAUAGAAAACAAAAGUUUCAAUUGGGAAAAAGUUGUUUUGCUAUAAUUAAGGGAGAGGAAAUUAUGCUUCAUCUCAAAUCUAUAAGCUUAGAUCGUGAGGUUUUAAUCAUUUAGUCAAGGAUAUAUAUGAAUUUCAUGUUGGAAUGGCUCAACAUAAGGAAAUUCUGUAUAUGGGUCCAUUAUUUGCGUUCUAAAAUUCGAUUAUGAUUACGGCAUCCCUUUUCAUAAUCUGAAUUAUGAGAACUUGGCAAAUUGAAAUGGAAAUAUUAUAGCAAAAGACUGGUUUAGUCUUUAUGUAAGACAUCAUGAAUCGUGUCCCAUAUGCUUCGGAUAUAGGAUCGAUUACAUGUGCUAUAUUCAUCCGUUCUAAAAUUUUCCAAAUGCCUGGGGCAUUAAGAAGGGAAAAGGUUUAGAACUGGAUAUGACUAAAAGGAUUAAACAAUUGUCGAGGACAAUCUAAGGUUUACCAAAGAUUGGUUACUCAAGGACAAUUGGAAGUAUAGUGAUAAUUCUGGAAGGACCAUAUUGACAUAAUCUGUAAGGAGGCAACUCUUGUUCAGAAGUGAUAGUCAAAAUGGAAUCUGGAAAUGUUUCAAAGUUAGAAUUUUCAAUCUGUGUAAGAUUAAGGAAACUUAAUGCAAGAAGGAUAUUUCCAAGGAGUUGAUCUCCUUUGGAAUACUCUGUAAUGAUUGUUGCCAAGUCUUUGUGACUUUGUGCAUAAUCAUUACAAGAGGAUCAAUGCAUAUAAGUUUAGAAUCUAACAGAUUUCAGUAAAUGGCAUGAAUUUGGAAUUCUUGCAUUUGCAGUAAGGAUUUGGGAGUGUGAAAAGAGAAUCAUUGAAGUUAUGUUCAAUUGAUCUAGUUCACAAAGUAAAGAUCAUAGACAAACAUAGUAUGCAUACUUGGUGUGUGGCAUGACUAGUGUUUAAGAAAACAUAGUGUACAUGCUUGGAGCAUGGGACAACUAUUGUUUUAAAUUCAAGAAUAAAGUUGAUAGCUGAAACAGUAUACAAUGAAUAAUGUGUAAUCAUAUGGUGAUAAAUAAAAGGUGUUUUAUUUAUGUUCAAAGGGUUGAUACCAUAUUGGAUUCAAUUAUUAUUGUGUUUCAUUUUGCAUGUUUUGACUUCCCGAAUAAACUGGGUUAUUCUUCCGGAAUGACUAAGUUAUUCAAACCAUCCACAGUCGGUCAUAUGUUGGAAGUAGAUAUGAAUUAAGACUGUCAUGGGUUGGCUUGUAGAGGUCUAAGGUGUUGGACAAAGGGCUACAACACUCAUGAGUGCUCAUAAGUUCUGAGUAUUGGAUUCAACCCGCGCUCAUUGGAAUCACUUCAUGGAUUUUAUCACGAGUGAUCAUGAGACGAUAAUAUCUUAUAUUCUUCAAACCUAGAGAUAUGAGUUGUUACUAUGAGUUGAUAGUACAUUGAUUGCACGAAAACGCAUUUGGUAACUCGGUGCUAUAAAACGUGCCUUUGUGUAUGAUUCAACAAGUAGUAGAACAAGCCAUAUGAGUCGAAGUUUAUCCAUUCCUUUUACCUUCGGGAUAAAAGCGAUAUCUGUGGGCCCCUCGAUGAUUUGAUGAUGACAAAUGGAAGUGCUCGGCCGGGCCAGGACUGAUUUGAUUUGUUCAAUUAGUCAGUCGUCAUAAAUCGGAAAUCGGGAAACAACAAAUGGACAGAGAGAAUGAUUAUAAUCCAUGUCUCAGUCCAUAUGAUAUCUAGAAUGGAGGAAUAUAUGAUCCCUUAUCUAAUGGACAAGUCAUUGACAAAGGUCAGAGUUCAUCUACAAGGUCAGAGUUCGACAGAAGCUUUUGAGAGCUACGAUUGCCAGUUGGUUCCUGAAGUCAUACGCAAUAAUAGUUUUAGACUUAUCCAAGUGGGAGACUGUUGGAUUAAUGUCUAAGUCCAUAACUAUAAUUGGUAAGACUUGACCCGACCCGGCAUGGUCCAUUUGGGUUGCAUACCAUCAUGCACUUGGAUAGACUAUAAUGAGAGAAAUAAGACACUUAUGGUUAUUAAUAUAUUAUAAGUUCUAGUAUAUUAAUAAUAAGAAUAAUAAGAUUAUUUAAUUAGUAUUGAUCAAGAAUUAAUCUAGGAUUAAUUAACUGAUCAAAAGAAGACUAAUUAAAUAUAUGGGUUGAUUGUGUAAAUCAUCCAUACUUGUAUAGUGGGCUAAUGCUCCAUGUAUAAUCAAGUUGGGCUAAAACCCAUAGGAUGGUCCAUGGAUGCUCCAUGGUGUAUUUGUACCCAUGGAUCAUGGAAAUGAAAGACCAUGUCAAUUAGGGCUUACAUGGUGUAACCCUAACUAUAUAAGCAUCUUAUUCUUGACCAAAAUUGGCCACUAGAGUGAGAGUAAGAAAGGGCUAGCCGAUUUCAUGAGUUGUAGAAUUCUCUCAAGUUAUUCUAAGUGUUUUGGUGAUUGUGAUUCCAUUUGAGGCUUCCACACUAUUGGGGCUAGGCACUCAAGCUUCAUGAAGAAUUUCUACAUCAAAGAGGUAUGUAUUCUAUCUUGUUACACUCAUUGUUUUUGUAUGCUAGAUUAGGAUUAUACCUUGGAAGUUCUUAUUUGCAUGUAUAAUAGAGAAAACAUAGAUC